AACUACUCCUUAUUUACCUCAAUUAGAGAGUAACUUUGGAAAAAAUUUAAUACACUUAAAGUGUGGAAUAGAAUAUUUAGGUAUACAUCAAAUAGUUGGAAAAUAUUUAGGAACCCGACCUAGACAUAUUGGAAUAACUAAUGAUUAUUUUACAUACUGUCAAAGUAUAUUUAGUUUCCUUAACCUACAUGAUAAAAAUAAAGAACAUAAGAUUAAAGAAAUAUUUCAUAAAUAUUUUAGAAAUCAUACAGUAGAUUAAAAAAUAUAAAAAUUUUCAUUGAUAUUGUUUAUAAAUAUACUCUAGAAAAAUUAACUAUGGAUGAAAAAGUUGAAGAUAAAUU
This 341-nucleotide long non-coding RNA is filed under the name Nicotiana benthamiana. RNAcentral's name for it is "long non-coding RNA (NBEN_LNC034182)". The record is from RNAcentral. Lineage: Eukaryota; Viridiplantae; Streptophyta; Magnoliopsida; Solanales; Solanaceae.